Molecule: ribosomal RNA, 292 nt
Filed under: uncultured bacterium
Lineage: Bacteria
Description: partial 16S ribosomal RNA
Rfam family: Bacterial small subunit ribosomal RNA
Source: RNAcentral
GUGCCAGCAGCCGCGGUAAGACAGAGGUGCCAAGCGUUAGGCGGAAUCACUGGGCUUAAAGCGUGUGUAGGCGGAAUGGUAAGUACCUUGUGAAAUCCCACGGCUCAACCGUGGAACUGCUUGGUAUACUGCUUUUCUUGAGCCACUUAGGGGCAACCGGAACAAACGGUGGAGCGGUGAAAUGCGUAGAUAUCGUUUGGAACGCCAAUGGUGAAAACAGGUUGCUGGGAGUGUGCUGACGCUGAGACACGAAAGCCAGGGGAGCAAACGGGAUUAGAUACCCCAGUAGUCC